Molecule: long non-coding RNA, 261 nt
Filed under: Lathyrus oleraceus (garden pea)
Lineage: Eukaryota; Viridiplantae; Streptophyta; Magnoliopsida; Fabales; Fabaceae
Description: Pisum sativum (pea) long non-coding RNA (PSAT_LNC007773)
Source: RNAcentral
UUAAAAUCAGUAAACCUAUCACCAUUCACUUCCUUUUUAAAGUUUUUUUUAUGAUGUAAAAAGAAAAUAAUCUAAAGUGUAAAUAAAAUUUUCGUUCUAAAAAAUAAAAAUAAUAACAUGAUAUUUAAAAAAAUAUAAUUAUAAAUGUGACAAGAAACAAAAUUUAAGUUCUAUAUUUUUUUAGAAAUUUACUUCAAUUUAAAAAUGUAAAAUAAAUUUGAUUAUUAUCAUGACCUUUUUUAAAAAAAACACAUAAAAAUC